CCUGAGCUCCUCCCACAGCAACAUCCAUCCAUGGCAACCAUAGCAACCGUGGCCAUGCUCAACGCGAAAUGCCCUGCUCCAAACCAUCUUCCCUCCUCAAAGUCAGCACCAACGAAGCCAGUCUCGCUCCUCUCACUCCAAAACCUUCCCAAGGGAGUCCAUCUUUCCAAACCAAUCAACACCAGCAGCCCUUCUUCCUUGAGCGCGGCCGCCAUCGCCGGGGCCUUCUUCGCCAGCCU
This 239-nucleotide long non-coding RNA is filed under the name Musa acuminata (dwarf banana). Its description in RNAcentral is "long non-coding RNA (MACU_LNC003551)". The record is from RNAcentral. Lineage: Eukaryota; Viridiplantae; Streptophyta; Magnoliopsida; Zingiberales; Musaceae.